This 64-nucleotide transfer RNA is filed under the name Cavia porcellus (domestic guinea pig). It matches the Rfam family "tRNA". From Rfam's summary of the family: Transfer RNA (tRNA) molecules are approximately 80 nucleotides in length. The record is from Rfam by way of RNAcentral. Lineage: Eukaryota; Metazoa; Chordata; Mammalia; Rodentia; Caviidae.
GGGGAUUUAGCUCAGCGGCAUAAGCACCUGCCUUAUAAGCAGGUGGUCGUGAGUUCAAUCCCUG